GUACAAAACAAUCAAUAAAUUGUUGGUCGAUAACGUUUCGUUUUUGGCCGCCGUAAUUCAACAACCCGACGUAGCCGUGAUCGUCUAGUGGUUAGGACCCCACGUUGUGGCCGUGGUAACCCAGGUUCGAAUCCUGGUCACGGCAAUGCUUCAAUGCGCAUUGUCACGGAGUCGAGUUUUCUUUUUUUCUCGUGUACAAACCGAUGAACUGUCAAAUGAGAACCCUGAGCAAUUUCGUUCAUUUAUAAAAUAGUUUACAUACUUAAUUUAAUACUUAUACAAUUUUUUAAAAUUUUUUUUGGCAAAAGUGAAUAAUGGACUCGGGCUUUACGAAUAGUCACUCCGAAUCCGAUGUAUGCUAUGACAAGGAAAAAUUUUCCAGAGAUGAAGAGAACAUGGAAAAAUUUUAUGCAACCAUAGGGAAUAUAUCCAGAAACAUGCGGAAAGGGGAUUGGACAUAUUUACAACGACAUCCGGAAAUACGAGCCAUAAUACGUACAAUAAUAACGGAGGCCAUUGAGAAGAAGCCAAACGACAUUUUUCAAUUUACAGCUAAUCUAUUUCAGUGCAAAAAUGAACCAGUAUUAGUGCGAAAGGUUGGUCAUUUAUUUAUGUGCUUUUUAAAUAAUUUGAAAUAACAUCGGACUGUUUACAAGAUUAACAAGCAACUGAGAUUGGUUAACAAGCAGCUGAGGGGCGGACAGUGGUCUCCCGCUGAUGGGGAAAUUGUAUUUUCCGAGACCAGUGAUGUUUUCACAGAAGUGAAAUCCGAAUGCAAGCCCAACUUGACGCAAACAGUUGUUAAUGUGCAACCAAACGAAUCCGUGGGUCCAGAAAACUUUAAGCCAGUUUGUCCUGUAAAUUUGGAACCCAAAUGCUAACAUUCCUCUGUUUCUGUUAUCGCAAAUUUUUGCAUUGGAAAGGUGUUUCCAUAAUUAAACAAUAUAAUGCUGAGUUGAAAACUGUG
RNAcentral lists this transfer RNA (967 nucleotides) under Drosophila guanche. The stretch from base 74 to 145 matches the Rfam family "tRNA". The record is from RNAcentral. Lineage: Eukaryota; Metazoa; Arthropoda; Insecta; Diptera; Drosophilidae.